Molecule: small nuclear RNA, 104 nt
Organism: Cercocebus atys (sooty mangabey)
Lineage: Eukaryota; Metazoa; Chordata; Mammalia; Primates; Cercopithecidae
Source: Ensembl
GUGCUUGCUUCAGCAGCACACAUACUCAAAUCGGAACUAUACAGUGGUUAGCAUGUUCCCUGCACAAGAAUGACACGGAAAUUUGUAAAGUGAUCUGUAUUUUU